RNAcentral lists this long non-coding RNA (1322 nucleotides) under Ananas comosus (pineapple). Its description in RNAcentral is "long non-coding RNA (ACOM_LNC018144)". Lineage: Eukaryota; Viridiplantae; Streptophyta; Magnoliopsida; Poales; Bromeliaceae. The record is from RNAcentral.
AGGUGGAAGAGGAGAGGAAAAGAAGAGAAAGGAGAAAAACAAGAUGCUGGAGUUGCUGCUGCUGGGCUGCACCGGCGUCGUCGUCGUCCUCCACGGCGCCAAUUUCUUCUUCCAUCUCCUCUGCCGUCGCAUCCCCCUCUUCCGAUCUCUCAGGCAAUACAACUUCUUUCCUCAAACCUUCUUCAUAGUACCCAAUCACGCAAAAGAAUUGAAUUUCGCAAAUUCAAACGAUCUGAUUUUUUUAACUUGAAAAUAUUCUUUUACUUCGAAUCAGUGGAAUUGGGUAAAGGACUCUAUUGUCCACUUCCAAAAGAAAUCCUCACAAAUCCCAUCCCAAAUCAUUGGAUUUGCUUGUAGUUGCUGGAAUUAAUUAUUCCAAAUCGUAAAAAAUUCGUGAAAUUCGCAUCCACUAGUUUGUUUCUUCUAACACAAAAUUUAGUAUUUUUCUUUUUUUUUUUUUCUUUUGUAUUAGUAAUUUCAUCUAAACAGCGCUGUGGAUGAUAUCAUUUUGUGUUAAAAUCAAUUUAGGCCUAAUUUUGAAUUACGUUGUUAAAGCCGUUAUUUUUAUAUUUUGAAAGCUAAAAAAAAUAAUAAUAAUAAAUCUAAACAAGUCAAUUAAACUCCUAUAAAUUUUUGUAUUAUUUUUUGACUAAAUUACAGAAAACUCUCUUAUAAAUAUCUUCUUUUUUUUUAAUUUUGCUCCCUAACUUUUAAAAACCUAUAUUUCACCCCUCAAUAUUUUAAGUUGUUGUAUUUAGCCCCCUUCGUCAGGAUUCCAUUACUAUUUCGUUCAUUUCUUGUAAUUUAUACUGAAAAUAUCUUUUAAAAUUUCAAAAAUAUAUUAGAAAUUAUUUUUUUUCUUAUAAAAAAGUAAGAAUAAUUUGAUCAUUUUGCCAUUUCUGUUAACAUCGUACCUCCUGAAAAUAUUUCUGAAAUUUUAAAGUAGACAAAAUAUAUAUAGAUUUUUUAACCUAUUUUUUUUUUUAUAGUUUUGAUUUUUGAUUUCUUUGUUGCAGUUUUCUCGGAUUCGUGGGAUGGUAGGGCAUGGAUUGACUUGGCGAGAUCACUGAUGAGUUGAGAAGAUGCAUGGAUUUAGUGAUACACUUGUGAGCUAGCACUCUAUCAAUUAGAGUUCAAUUAAUCAUUCCACUUCACAGAAGAGUUCGAUUUGAUUUACUUAGAAAUGAUUAUGUUUAGUUGAAUAAAUUAUGAGUCGAGUUAACUUUUACUGAGUUUCCUUCCUUGGAAAGAAAGAAAAAGCUAUUUCAACAUUUUUAUGUAGUUAUAAAUAGGCUAAAUUAUAAAAAAUUUAUAUAUAUAUA